RNAcentral lists this ribosomal RNA (771 nucleotides) under uncultured archaeon. RNAcentral describes it as "bacterial SSU rRNA". It matches the Rfam family "Archaeal small subunit ribosomal RNA", at positions 1 to 779 of the family's 1478-position model. The record is from RNAcentral.
UUCUGGUUGAUCCCGCCGGACCUGACUGCUAUCGGAUUGAUACUAAGCCAUGCGAGUCAUUGUAGCAAUACAAGGCAGACGGCUCAGUAACGCGUAGUCAACCUACCCUAUGGACGGGGAUAACCUCGGGAAACUGAGAAUAAUACCAGAUAGAACAUUAUACCUGGAAUGGUUUAUGUUUCAAAUAAUUUAUUGCCGUAGGAUGGGACUGCGGCCUAUCAGUUUGUUGGUGAGGUAAUGGCCCACCAAGACUAUUACAGGUACGGGCUCUGAGAGGAGUAGCCCGGAGAUGGGUACUGAGACACGGACCCAGGCCCUAUGGGGCGCAGCAGGCGAGAAACCUUUGCAAUGUGCGCAAGCACGACAAGGUUAAUCCGAGUGUUUCCUGCUAAAGGAAUCUUUUGCUAGUCCUAAAAACACUAGUGAAUAAGGGGUGGGCAAGUUCUGGUGUCAGCCGCCGCGGUAAAACCAGCACCUCAAGUUGUCAGGAGGAUUAUUGGGCCUAAAGCAUCCGUAGCCUGCUCUGCAAGUUUCCGGUUAAAUCCAUUUGCUCAACAAAUGGGCUGCCGGAAAAACUGCAAAGCUAGGGAGUGGGAGAGGUAGACGGUACUCGGUAGGAAGGGGUAAAAUCCUUUGAUCUAUUGAUGACCACCUGUGGCGAAGGCGGUCUACCAGAACACGUUCGACGGUGAGGGAUGAAAGCUGGGGGAGCAAACCGGAUUAGAUACCCGGGUAGUCCCAGCUGUAAACGAUGCAGACUCGGUGAUGCGU